UGGCUGGCUUGGCUUCGUGCCAAUUCAAAGCCGCAAGCAACUUCUGGAUCCUUGUUCGUUCCGGAGAGGACACAAAGGCCUUUCUCGGAGUGCGUCGGUCGAUUCGAGUUUAGGAAGUCUGUAUCAUCAAGAAAAAACUGCAGGUGGCUGGAAGCUGCCGAUCAGCUGCCAGUCUGGAUAGUAGCCAUCAACUCAGCAAAGGCCUGCAGGCGAAUCAGCCCAACCUGUUUCUCUGCUGCCUUUCAAGACAGGAUGCUUUGUGAAAAGUGAAACGGGGCCCACGCACCGCUUCCGCAGGACCCUGCUGGUAUUUAUCUGACCUUUUGUUUUCCUAAACAAAUAACACCAUUACAAACUGUAAUAUACCGAGCAAUUGCCCACUCUAAAUUGGGCAUGACCAUGGAGAGCUGGGGGAUAGGGUAGGUAAUAAAGCAAAGGUGUACAUGGUCGGGUGAUCCCUUGGUCUGACCACGGAAUUACAAACAGCUGCCAUUUGCAAAGCUGGUUGACUGUGCAAACACGUAAAAACAAACCGUCUGUUUUUGUUUUUUUUUCUUUUUUUUUUAUUACAAAUUAACAUCCUAAAGAAUGGUUGCUUAGCAUUUGCUUGUUCUUGUUAUAAAGCCUUAAAUUUAUUCUUCCGAGUUCGAACAACAAAGCAACCCAUCUUUUUUUGGGCACAACUUUCUUUGGCAAUGAAGAGAAAACUAGGGAAGGGGGAGGCAGGCAGUGCCAAUGGCUCUGUGUUAGUGCACCAAAUAGUUAUCGUUUUUUGUUUGUUUUUUUUGUCUCGGUUUCAGUUAGGGUUUUGGCGUGUCAACCACGCAGUUGCUUCAGUGCAUGUUUUUGUACGAGGAUUGCGGUUGAGGGAGCUGAACCGCGAUCGCCGAGCAUGCAGGCAUAUUCAGAUCUAUUUCUGAAGGCUUCACCCGUUUUUAAGCGUAAGCCAACACUUUGACUGAAGCACUCGGACAGACUUGCAAGGUAGAUUUCACCGUGGUCAAUCUCCUAGAAUUUAAUUUGUCUCUCAGCUGACGAAGAUAGGCAGUGUCGAAUCAGGAAAAGCUGCAAACUUCAUGAUAGUAGAUAAGCGCCGGGAAAAUACCUAGACAAAAAUUUGACGUGAACACUGGCGUACCGGCAACUAACAUUUAUUAAAAACAAAAUUUCUGAUAUAGUAAGUGGUAAGGAUGCAGAUUUGUGGUAAUGAACUGUCCUCUCAUAUUGAUAUCUUUUCAGAUAUAUCAGUGUUUAGAAGGGAGCUAAAUUUUUAUCUUUAAUUCGUGAUUGCAUGCUAGUCUGUUCUUUUUUACGAGUGGAAGACAUUGUGUUAAGUCAUGUACUACCAUUUUAUAUGCCACCACACUAUGACCUAGUGGUCGUUCUGGGGCAUGAUUCAAAUAAAACAUUAUUAUUAUUAUUAUUAUAGCUGUGAAAAACGUCAGUCAUGACUACAACUGGUCAACCCUCUAUCAAAAAAUUAAUUCUUUUGCCGAUAAGGUUAUGGAUGUGUCACUUGUACACCUGGUGCCUUUGGCUUUAAUCUUAAACGCCUGGUGCAGCUCUCUAGAUUCUUUAUCUGGAUAUCUGGCCAAAAAUUUGGUGUCUUUAAACGACUGGGAGCAAAAGCAGCGUCUGCAGUGUGUGGCCAGAUGUCGUGAUGGAGAUCGCUUGUGUGGCCACCUCGCGUUCGCGGGCGCAAUCAUUAAUACAUAGGCCUGUCUGACCUGUGUACACAGAGCCAUAUGACAUUGUGAUUCCGUACACAACUUUGGUUGUGCAUUCUGUGCAUUUUUUGCAGUGUUUAGUUUUGCAUUUGUCUUUUCCAAGGGCCACUGCUGCAGCGACAACACACAUCAGCUGCUGCCCUUGUUUCCCGUCAUUUAAUGACACCAAAUUUUUGGCCAGAUACCCAGAUAAAAUGUCUAGAAAAAGCUACACGAGGUGUUUGAGAUUAUAGCCGAAGGCACGAGUUGUACAAGUGACACAUCCAUAACCUUAUCAGCAAAAGAAUAUGAAUUUCUUGAUAGAGGUCUACAUUGGUUGUAAUCAUGAUUGACAUUUUUCACAGCAAUGUAACAGAUUGUUUUUUUUUUCAAUAAUGUUAGUUGCGAGUGCGCCAGUGGCAACUUCUUGACCCUGUCUAUUUUUUUGGCGCUUGUCAAUGAUCAUGAACCACCUGACCCAAAUUGCCACAUGAACGAAUUUCAUGAGUGCUGCCGCGUUUUGAGGUCAGUUAUCUGUAAACUCUUCUGGUGCUGAAAAACUAUUGCGCGGGAGGAAUAUACAGAAAUAGAAGCACGCACACUCCACGACGCGAAGUCGCAUUCCAUUUUAAUCGCAUUCAGUUAUGGCUGGCCCUAGGGGGUCGCUGGCACACCACAGCUCAGAAUAUCUGUAGCAAGGAUUGCGCUGCAGAACCCAGGGGUCCUGAGCUCCGUCCCCAACCCUGCUCACACACACCAGUGAGCUUGCUAGCCAACCCGCAUACGGAAACAACUAGGAGUCCCGGUUCCCACUGUCCCAUUUGUCAUACACGUUGCACACCACUUGCUUGGUUUGUUUUAAGAUUUCUUGGUUGCCAAACUUCAUAAAAAUCUUACAUGUCAAACAAAGGGGCGAACUCACAGAGUGUGCCUGCAAUAAACCACACUGAUGAUGCGCAAAGAUGCACAUGAUAAAGAUGCCAUCUUAAUUUUGCAGGGAGCUAGAAAACCUAGGGUGAAUUUAAACCAAGAAAACACAAAAUAGCUAAAAAGGAAAUGCUCUAGGUUUGGCACAUCCUGGCUAAUGUUAUGCUAACAUUCUAAAGUCAAAGCUAAACAGAACAAUUUUACAUAUAUCUUAAUUGGUUACGUUCCACCCAGCAAAUUAUUAUGGUUGAACUAUAUUCAGCUAUGCAGUGAAAUGGUGUCCUUUGGCUCUCUAGCUUUAGCUCCAUUGCCACGGAACGUUGUCCCCAAGUAUAUCACUUUCUAGCUCUUUUCGACUGCUCCCCUCCUAUUCCUCUCCUGCUUUGCUGUUCUACUCGUUCUAUCCCCAUUCUGUCUGCCAGUCGUGGAGAUAAACGCCCAUGGCGACAGGGUGCCUGAUGUCUCUUUCAUAUAUUUUUUUAACUUGCUUAAAAUAGAGGAAUAGGCAUUAAUAUGUCCUUAGAUGAGUUGAUAUGUUUCAAAAGUAGGGGUUGAGCGCUUACUCUGCCGCGGGUGCAUGCCCGGUGUUUUUUGGUAGUUUUAUGGUGUUGUGCGUUACUAGAAUAAGUUGGGCUUUAGUAUAGUUACCGCAUAUGUGUAGAGUAAUUCACGCAGUUGUUAAUGGCCGUUAGUACCUAACUCAACCCUGUGCAGGGUGUCUAUGAGCUGAAAAUUGGUAUUGUUGAGAAAUUCGGCAAUUGGAAAAGUCUCAAGAUUUCCAGCCUAAUCAGUAUCGAUCAGGGAAUUUCAGCCUUCCUUUCUCUGAAUGUAAGCAAAAGACACGUGUGGUGUGGCACAUGCACCUUCCUCCUACUCAGCAACUCGGCCGGCCUGCCAACGUAAAUCUUUGCUGGAAACUAGAGUCUUGGUAGAAUCCAGAGAUGCAACUUCAUCUCGAAAUGUAUUUACAAGGCAAACUUCUAUACUCUCAACGAACUGCUGCUGCUUAUGGCAGAUUUGUGGAAUGGCUUCAUAGUGCGAGAGUUUGUCUCUAUAGCUACCCUAGUUGCUCCUGAAUAAACUUCUAGGGGAUCUUUUCCGGGCUGUGAACAUCAUGACAGUUGAGGUAGUUUCUGCUGGAAAAGGGAGGGGGGCAGAGAGGGUAUCCCUCAGCUUGACAGUCCAUAGAAGCUUUGUCAGCCAGGAUUUUGAAUGUUGCGAGGACAAUGACAGCUGUGUUAGCUCAUAUAUUUUUUGCCAGAAGUUGUAUGACUAACUGCCAGGAUUGCAACAUCCAACAGCACGACAUGCCAGCUCCUGUGGUGUCAUUUAAUUUUGUCGCUUAGAGACCACUUUUGGUACAUGGGUUAUAUAGAACACUAAACGAACCAGUUGGAGGCGCAUUCCAGGCACCAUAACGUAGCCUCUGCUGCUGAGAUGUUCUUAUUGCAGGUAUAAUUUCCGAUUCUGUUUUUUUUUUGUUUUUCAGUGGGAGCUCAUGGAGGUGGCACGGUGCAUGGAAGGACAGAGUGGCUGACAGUGAGCUGCCCAAGCAAGCUGCUGGCUCUUGUGACCGUCUCCGAAAGCCUCUGGAUGGGCUAAAUUACAGACGUGCCUGGACAUUUAUAAAUGGUGCUGCUAUCCAGCUCUACGUCACAGCCAUGAAGUGGCCAUGGGGUGAACUAUGUACAACUGCUGUCAUUAGUACUCGGAUCGGCAGAGCCACCUACUAGCUGUGAAGCCCAGUUGCCAGGCAGCAGAUACUCGACCAGCAACCAGCCUUUGUCGCUCUAGUGGGACACGAGAGCGACAAACAGAAACAAACGACAGCUACAAGCCUCCAACCGAUUCAGCAUGCCCGUGGUGGUACUUUUGGCAGGCGGCGUUUAUUCGUUCGGUGCUCGUGAAAUAAGCAUGAGUGAUUCUAAGCCUGCCAAAGAUACCCUCGCGUGCAUGAUGCUUGUGUUUAAGCAUAGCCUCCUUUAUUCUACAAAGCCUGUCAAAUCGGGAAAGACUCAGGUUUGAGACUUGUCGUCAUUUGUUUCUGUUUGUCGCUGUGGUGGAACUCGGGCAUAAGCUAGCACCAUGUACUGAACAUGAAAUAAAAAACCACUGUAUCAAACUUGA
Ixodes scapularis (black-legged tick) is the source of this 4760-nucleotide long non-coding RNA. RefSeq lists it as uncharacterized. Lineage: Eukaryota; Metazoa; Arthropoda; Arachnida; Ixodida; Ixodidae. The transcript is spliced from 3 exons. The record is from RefSeq and is a predicted model, not a curated record.